Molecule: long non-coding RNA, 3591 nt
Organism: Cyprinus carpio (common carp)
Lineage: Eukaryota; Metazoa; Chordata; Actinopteri; Cypriniformes; Cyprinidae
Source: Ensembl
AUGGAGGAACAGGAUCUGCAGAUGAUGGUCAUGACUAAUCAAAAGACUUCACCACUGCAGUAUCUCAUUGCAUCCACCAUGCAGGACAGAGUCCGCACUGCUGUUGAAAAGUCACAGGAAGCCGUAGGGAUGCUUAGCUCUUUGGGGGCUUGCAGAGAACGAAGCCCUGUUAGAGACCAGCCCCCUUCCAAGAUCUUUGUCCAAUAUCAAGAGACAGAGGAAGAGUCCCAAAAACCCUCGUUCCAGCCUGUCUCUCCAUCAGGAGCCCCUGGCAAACCAGAACCUCAGCCUGCAGUCAGGGCCAAAGUCCCAGAACAAUCUCAAAUACUCUCAGAGGUAUCUUAUAAAGCAGUAGACCUCAAGACCCAGCAAUGUAGUCAGCCUGUGCCAAUGAUUGUUGUGCAAGAGUAUGAAGAGGAGAAAAGUAGUCCACAACCACAAAUGCAUCCCUCUGUGCAAGUGAAAGACUCUCAGUCCAUUGAAGUUAAGUCAGAGAAAGUUGUCCAUGAUCAAACAAAAGUCAACAUAGAGCAUCAUGUAGAAAGCCAGGAAUCUUUACCACAGUCUGUGACACAACAACAGACAGAAAAAAGUCCAGUAGCUGGCCAACCCUCACAGAACCUACAACAAGCAGAGUCACAAGUACAUAAUAAACAACAAUUAGCAACACAGGCCCAUGUGCACAUUCAUCAACAAGAGAAAACUCAGCUUGCAAAACAGCAGAAGGUUCAACCACAAGUUUCAAUCCAGUCACGGCCUCAGGGCCAACUAGAAGCACAAACACAGCAAGCUCCAAAGCAGCAGAGGAAAGUAAAGAAGUCCCAGGCACAUCUGCAGAACAGACCUUGGCUUCAACAGAGGAGUCAACCGGAAAGAGUUACCCAAAACGCAGUGCAACAGUUGGUCCCACAAUCUCAGUCAGAGCCUGAGGACAAAUGUCAAAUAAGUUCUCAAGCACCACCACAGCAUAUAAUAGCUGUUUGUUCACCUGUGGCUCAGGGACCUGCUCAAGGCACAGCACAGUCAAAAAUCAUUGGUAAGAGUGAUGAGAAUCACCUGAAGCCAGCUCAGUCUGUUGCACAAGAGAAACCUCUUGUAGAAACACAAAACACACCUCAAACUGUGCCAGCAGUUUCAGCACAACCAGUGACUCAAAAACAACCACAAAAGCCAGUGACUGUUCCGAUUCAUCAACAAGUGUUUCCCAAACCUCAACCCUCUUUAUCAACUCAAGCUCAAACAACUACACAACAAACACUAGCUACUGCACCCAUUAAGCAACAAAAGCAACUUCAAACACAGAUAGUGACACCACAGCAACCUCAAGUGAUGAUCCAGAAACAGGCACAAUCUCAAUCCAUGACUCCAAUGCAACCCCAGGUUAUGGCCCAAUGGCAGCCACAACAGACAAUUGCUCAGCCUCGUCCUGCAGUGCCACAACCACAAAUAUUUCCAGUGGCCCAAACAAUGCCUCAAAGGCCAGUCCAACAAUACCCAACAUCUCCCAUUCAACCACAAAUAACAAUGCAGAGACAACAGUCUCAGUCCCAGCAAACCACAAUGCGCAAUCCGACUGUUAUUACCCCUCAACCCAAAGGUGCAUCCCCCAUACAACCCAGAAUCAUCUCUAUGCCUCGACCCCAGAUGCCUAUUCAAUCUCAAACUCAGGUCAAAGCACAGGGAAGUGUACCACAUGUGAUUCAACCUCAGGGGCAACCCCAGUGGAAUCAACCAGGAGAUGUCACCCAAACGUACCCCAGAGUGCAAGGACCAGUUUCUGUUGCUGCCCAAAUGCAGCCACUGGCCCAUUUCCAAACUCAUCCCCAACCUCCAAGUAUCCCUCCAACUCAACUUCAGCAGUGGUCACCAAUAAGACCAGGCUUAGUGAGUCAGACAUACCCAACUGUCCAAGUUCCAGGUCAGGUAAUUCAAUCUCAGCCUCAAAUGGCAAUUUACCCUAAAAUCCAGCCGCAAUCCCAGCCUCAGCAGUGGUCCUCUGCUAGACCUGAAUUACCUUGGGGUCAGUCACAGAUAAGACCUCAAGGUCCAGCUCAGCAUAUAGUUCCCUCUCAGCAAUGGAGGCCUAUCAGUCCAGAAAGAGUCAGUCCAGUAUACCCAAGGGCUGAAACCCAAGGGCCCAAGGGACCACAUCCUCAGACCCAAUAUCAAGCUCUUCCAAGGCCAGCAAGCCCUCAACAUCAGUGGAGACCAGUCCGGCCAGAACAUCAGUUUCAAGUUUCUUCCCAGACUAUGUUCCAUGGUGCUCCCCAGCCAGUAGCUCCAUGGAAUCAACCACCUUCUCAAGCUCUCAUAAGAUCUCAGAGUCCACAACAGCCUCAGCAAAGUCAGCAAAAGUGGAUUUCAUCCAAGACAGAGGCCCCAUCUGCAACCCUCAUCCAAAGCCAAGUAGCCCAGGCAGAGCUUCAGUCCCAAGAUCUGACAAAGCUGCAGUUACCAGUACAGGAACCACCCCAACAGCAGUCAGUUCCUCGGGUUAAGCAACCAGCACUUGCCCAGGCACCCCCUCAAGCCUACACUGAAGCUUAUAUAAAGGCACAGGCCCUGGUUAGGGAUAGAUUUGAAGAAGCCAAGCACUGUCUUCAAGAGCACAUUAUAGAAGCUAUCAGUGUAUUCAAGGACAAGAGAAUAAUGGACGAACAGGCAUCAGUUAAGGAGGUUUGUCCAUUUUAGACAUUAGCUGGUUUGCUUGUUUUUGGCUGUUUGCAACAGAGCCCAAUUUCAGUAAACUAUAUCGUUGUGUUUGUAUGUUUUAUAAGAGAUUGUGGUUAAUUUUCCCAAGUGUCUGUGUGGGGUUUUUGUUUCUUUUUUAGGAGACCCUUCGGACUCUUGACCCUGAACUUCUUGAAGAGUUCUUGAGGGCUGCGGAAGGAAUGGAAGCUUUCUGCACCCCAUCUGAACUUAGAGACAUGGAGUUUUUCAAACAAUCUGUUAGAACACAGUGGAAGGUAUCAGUGUAGUAAAAUUUAGUGCUUGUUUGUCUAUAUCUGCAGUGUGACUUUAAUGUUAACCGUUUUUAUUUUUGAUACUAACUGAAAUGCUCUGCACUGUAUUAAACUGAUUGAAUGUGAAGUUACAAAUAUUAAGAGGUUGUGUGCUUGCUGUUGUGUUUUUUUAUUUUAUUUUAUUAAUAUUUUUAGGAUGUUCGAGUGCAAAUAUCAGAAUUUUUGAAGCAACUCAGAUUUGAGUUAACCCGCCUGCAUUUUAACCGUAUGGUUAAGACAUGUGAGAUACACUUUAAGAAGGAAAAACUCAACCAUAGGCCUGAAUCAAUAUCAGAAUCAAAAGAAGAGGUAAAAUUACAGCUACCCUAACCACGGAGCAUGAACAGUCAUAUAGACAAAUGGGUGUGGGAAUGAAUUUCUCCUUUAAUUUUAAUUCAUCCUUUGUUUCCUAAAUUAAACAUUUGCUUUUUGGGUCAAUUAAUGCCUUAAUUUCUUGUUCUUGUCUUUCCUCUUAACCACAUCACUCACUUGGCACUUGACACAACUUUAUUUUUAUUUUGCAUGUUGCAAAUGAAAAUUAAAAAUACUGCAAAAUAAAUAAAUUACAGUUGCAUUAAUUUAAUAAAUA